RNAcentral lists this RNase P RNA (390 nucleotides) under uncultured Eisenbergiella sp. RNAcentral describes it as "Bacterial RNase P class A". It matches the Rfam family "Bacterial RNase P class A". Rfam says of the family: Ribonuclease P (RNase P) is a ubiquitous endoribonuclease, found in archaea, bacteria and eukarya as well as chloroplasts and mitochondria. Its best characterised activity is the generation of mature 5'-ends of tRNAs by cleaving the 5'-leader elements of precursor-tRNAs. Cellular RNase Ps are ribonucleoproteins. Lineage: Bacteria; Bacillati; Bacillota; Clostridia; Lachnospirales; Lachnospiraceae. The record is from RNAcentral.
AGUAGGAUGAGUGAUCGCGGCUGUCCGUCCCUCAGGCUGAGGGCGGCAGGUGAGGAAAGUCCGGGCUUCACAGGGCAGGAUGCCGGAUAACGUCCGGUGGAGGCGACUCCAAGGCCAGUGCAACAGAAAUAUACCGCCCCGCAGGCUUUCCGGAAACGGAAGAUCUGCGGAAAGGGCCUUCGGGCCUGGUAAGGGUGGAAAGGCAGAGUAAGAGACUACCGCCCGCCUGGCAACAGGCGGGGCACAUGUAAACCCCAUCCGAAGCAAGACCAAACAGAGAGCGACAGGCUCGCCCGGCCUGCUCUCAGGUAGGUCGCUUGAGGCUGCCGGCAACGGCAGUCCUGGAUAGAUGAUCAUUCACGACAUAACCCGGCUUACAGUCCUGCUCAU